CGGUUAAGUUAGAAAGGGCGCACGGUGGAUGCCUUGGCACUAGGAGCCGAUGAAGGACGGGACGAACACCGAUAUGCUUCGGGGAGCUGUAAGCAAGCUUUGAUCCGGAGAUUUCCGAAUGGGGAAACCCACCACUCGUAAUGGAGUGGUAUCCAUAUCUGAAUACAUAGGAUAUGAGAAGGCAGACCCGGGGAACUGAAACAUCUAAGUACCCGGAGGAAGAGAAAGCAAAUGCGAUUCCCUGAGUAGCGGCGAGCGAAACGGGACCAGCCCAAACCAAGAGGCUGGCCUCUUGGGGUUGUAGGACACUCUGUACGGAGUUACAAAGGAACGAGGUAGAUGAAGAGGUCUGGAAAGGCCCGCCAUAGGAGGUAACAGCCCUGUAGUCAAAACUUCGUUCUCUCCUGAGUGGAUCCUGAGUACGGCGGAACACGUGAAAUUCCGUCGGAAUCCGGGAGGACCAUCUCCCAAGGCUAAAUACUCCCU
Molecule: ribosomal RNA, 486 nt
Filed under: Bacillus velezensis
Lineage: Bacteria; Bacillati; Bacillota; Bacilli; Caryophanales; Bacillaceae
Description: bacterial LSU rRNA
Rfam family: Bacterial large subunit ribosomal RNA
Source: RNAcentral